This 87-nucleotide non-coding RNA is filed under the name Chloropicon mariensis. Lineage: Eukaryota; Viridiplantae; Chlorophyta; Chloropicophyceae; Chloropicales; Chloropicaceae. The record is from RNAcentral.
AGUUUUUUUUAUUUUUUAAGUUUUCCAAAGUUUUUUCUUCUUCCUCUUCUCUCUCUUUCUUCAAUUUCAAAUGCGCAGUUCUGAAAA